UACGGGGGGUGCAAGCGUUGCUCGGAAUUAUUGGGCGUAAAGCGUACGCAGGUGGCUCUGCAAGUCGAGUGUGAAAACCCGGGGCUCAACCCCGGAAUUGCAUUCGAAACUGCCGGGCUUGAGUGCGGGAGAGGGAAGCGGAAUUCCUGGUGUAGAGGUGAAAUUCGUAGAUAUCAGGAGGAACACCGGUGGCGAAAGCGGCUUCCUGGCCCGAUACUGACGCUCAUGUACGAAAGCGUGGGGAGCAAACAGG
Molecule: ribosomal RNA, 253 nt
Filed under: uncultured bacterium
Lineage: Bacteria
Description: partial 16S ribosomal RNA
Rfam family: Bacterial small subunit ribosomal RNA
Source: RNAcentral